Long non-coding RNA from Pipistrellus kuhlii (Kuhl's pipistrelle), 1559 nucleotides. RefSeq lists it as uncharacterized. The record is from RefSeq and is a predicted model, not a curated record. The transcript has 2 exons. NCBI's taxonomy places the organism in Eukaryota, Metazoa, Chordata, Mammalia, Chiroptera, Vespertilionidae.
UUGCCAACCACUGAACUAGACUAUAAGGUGGCCAAACUUACCUACAAAGUUACAUUGUCAUUCAGACACUUAGCAUGUUUUGGCUGAAAACCAAAUACUGGUUAAUAUAUGACACAUGGAAGAAUAAAGAUCAGAUUCAUAUGUUAAGAUCCUUAGUACUUCUCCAUUGUUACAUAAUCCGCAUUUCCCCCCAGUAAGGGCACCGGUGCCACACACAUGGGUGGUGGGCACUUUCAUAACAGAUAAAAUUCUGACCCAUCUGUUGAACUCCAUGUCCUAAUGGGUGCUGACAGGCCUAUGUUAAAAAGACAUCUUAAAUAACGCCAAAAAAAAAUACACAACAGGGUGGGGCAAAAGUAGGUUUACAGCGGUAAGUACGUGAAACACGGAGUUUAUUUUUAUAUUACUAUUUAUUAAUUGUUGUAAUUUGUUGUAAUUGUUUUCCAUAUGAAAAAAUGUAAACCUCCUUUUGCUUCUCCCUGUAUAUUAGUUUUUGCACUGCCAGACAACCCUCCUGUUUCCUAGCUAGCCUUGGUUUUCAUGAUCAUUAACUACACCAUGUUUACCGAACUGACGGAAGCAUAGUGAGCUAUUGAUUUUAUGUCACCUGAUUUUAGGAUGCAGAAAACAUCUCAGGCCUGCUUGCAGCACCAUAUGUGUAUCGUUAAGCACAUGUAUGAUGAAGUCUUUAUUUUAAGUGCCUUAUAUUGCUUUCCUUGUUACCUCUGCCUGAUGAGGACUGCUGCUGUGAGCCUCAUUGCAGAAAGCCUGAAAUUGUAGAGCUGAAGAGGCAGGAGGAUCCUGUGAUGUUUUUUCAUAUCACCAUCCUCACAUUCCUGCAGCAUCUCUCUUGUGCCCAGAUAGAUGGGGCACUUAGCGUUCUGUUCCCUAGGAGUUAUACAAGUUGAGAAUAGAAAAGCUUUUAUAAGAAAUUCAGUACAUCCCUAACCAACCAUAUACUUAUUUUCACCCUUCUAGCCAGCCAUUCAUACUCCUAGAGUCCUGCACACCAACCCAUGAUUGAAGUAAAGGUUCUCAGCCACCCCAUUCCUUGUUACUUCUUACCUGCCUCGAUCGGAUCCUCCCUGGCUCCUGGCUCUUGGCUGCAUGGCUGCAAUUUUCAUUUUCACUUUUGAGUUCUAGUCUAGGCCUAGUGAUUUCCAGAGAAACACUGGCCACCUGUCUUAUAGGUGUCCGGGGAAUCAAGAAGACGUUACUCUAGCUAGUUGCUUUUUGGGAGCUCGGGAAAUGGGAGUUCCAGACCUGUGCUGAUCCUGCUGGUCCACAUCAGCGACAUAGCAGCUCGCACAGCCACCUUUGCUCUGUUCAGCCCUGCUUCUGAUUCCGGUGACUCACAGAUGCGGGAGACAGGCAUUUUAAAAGCUGCAUCUGGAACUCCAGCCGCAGGAGAGGCCGUGAGAAAUGCAGUUCUCACUUGCAGUCUUUCCAUUAGGACGUUGGAAUAAAGGCUAAGCAAGCUCUUCUACCUUAUCUACCUUUGUGAGUAAAGAGAUCUGAAUACUUUCAAGGCCUGUCAAAAUAUUCCAGCCCUUCAGGAG